AGAUGGCAGUGGCCGUUCCACUGCAGGCGUGAACCCUGGAGCAGCUGCGCAGUAAGCACCUGCCCAAGAGGGACUUUAUCAAGUUUCUGCAGGACCACAAUUCAGAUUCGUUUCUUGCAGAACAUAAAUUAUUAGGAAACAUUAAAAAUGCAGGCAAGACAGCUAACAAGGACCAUUUGGUUACAGCCUAUAACCAUCUUUUUGAAACUGAGUGUUUCAAGGGUAUCAAUACUGUAAGUGUUGCAAGUGAAAAAUGUGAAGCUUAAUGAAGAUAAACCCAAAUAAACCCAAAGUCUGGAGAGUCUCUGGCUGAGGGUCCACCAAAAUAUGCAAAAUCUGUUCUAAAAACAUGAGAUUUGGGAGAUGGGGAGAUGUUGUUCAAGGCUGGUAUACAGGAACACUACAGGAUGGGACUGUUUUUGAUACUAAUAUUCAAACAAGUUCAAAAAAGAAAAAUACCAAUACCAAGCCUUUAAGUUUUAAGGUCAGAGUAGGCAAAGUUAUCACAGGAUGGGAUGAAGCACUGUUGACUGGGUAAAGGAGAAAAGCCUCGAUUGAAGAGUGAAGCAGAAUGGGCUUAUGCAAAGAAAGGGCAGCCUGAAGCCAAAAUUCCACUAAAUACAAAGUUCGUUUCUGAAGUGGAAUUAGUGGAUACU
Molecule: long non-coding RNA, 656 nt
Filed under: Homo sapiens (human)
Lineage: Eukaryota; Metazoa; Chordata; Mammalia; Primates; Hominidae
Description: non-protein coding lnc-ERO1B-1:1
Source: RNAcentral